RNAcentral lists this long non-coding RNA (607 nucleotides) under Sinocyclocheilus grahami. RNAcentral describes it as "lncRNA (ENSSGRG00000008592.1)". The record is from RNAcentral. Lineage: Eukaryota; Metazoa; Chordata; Actinopteri; Cypriniformes; Cyprinidae.
UGCUAACUUGUGUUUGACACACUGACAAGGAUAAUAUGGAUAGGCCUACAUAUACGGUUAAUUAAUUUUCUCAGUCAUCUCAAUGGCAAAAAGUGGGGGGCUGGGGGGGUCUGCAGCCUGCCCCUUUAAUUGCCGACGCUAAAGUGCACUUUCGGUCCGAUUAAUCGAGAAGAAAUCCCCGGAUCGCUCUCAUAAUGCCACCCUCCCCUGCACCUCCGGAGGACUGUGCACGCCACUGCCUAGUUUUGACAUGAUUCUUCAUAUUUCGAAAAAAUACUGCAAAGUAAUUAACUGGGUCCGACUAGUUCUGGUGUUCAGUGAGUUUUAUAAUAUUCACAGUAAGCCAUAACUCUGUGGUGUGAAACAUGACAAAAGUACUCACGUUCUCUCCACGCCACACAUAAUUCCGUGUCAGAGCGCGCGGGAAUGUGACCCUCCUGAUGUGAUUCUAACGACCAAAUGCUAGAAAGACGGCGCGAAACUACAGCGUUCACGGAUUGGACGUGCACUUCCGGCACGUUCGCCGAAGAGGCGCAAUCAGGCUGCGCGUUGUUGCGGCGUGUGCGUGCGUGCGUGCGUGCUGACGGACUGACGGAGCCGGUGCGCC